Molecule: long non-coding RNA, 2050 nt
Organism: Anser brachyrhynchus (Pink-footed goose)
Lineage: Eukaryota; Metazoa; Chordata; Aves; Anseriformes; Anatidae
Source: Ensembl
CUCUUUUCCACGAAGUGACAGAAGUUAUGAAGAUAUGCUUUAAGUGGCUGAUUUGCCCAACUCCCUUAUUUUGCAGAACGUCCUGCCAUAUUUGAAACUUACACUAUAAAAUCUUAUAGAAAGACAGUUCCUGAGUGUUAGCCUAAUAAAGCCACAUUUUUAUCUCUUAUGGGUUUUAGUUGCUAUUGGACGUUUCCUUCCUGGCCUCUAAGGACAUGUGAAGAAUAUCAGAGGAAGUCCUCAUCAGCUGAUGUUCAGAGAGGUUCCUACUUCCUCAGCUUCCUUCACACGGCUCCUUCUCAAGACAGCAUCAUUAAUCUACAUUGUCCCUUUCUUAUCAUGACUCUGCCAGUUUCUUAUCAUGUUUCUGCUGCCUGUCCUGCUGCCAGAGUAUCUUCAAACCUCUGACCAGUUAGCUACCUGCAUGCAGCACAACUCACACCCAGACUACAACUGCGGGGGACCUUGUACGUGUGCAGCACGGAGGUGUCAUCAGAUGGCACAGGUCCGGACACGCUGCUUCUCCCAGAAGACAGGAGGGACCGCCUGGGCGUAUUUGGACAACCAGCCGUGCUGCUAUCUCGCCAGUCCCGGUGCAGGGAGAUGCUCCGGAGCGCAUUGCGCUGUGUGAACAACGCCCACAGUAUUCUGCCCUUGGCACCAGCAGCUGGAGAAGAAUGGGAGAGCUGCACCGGCUUUCCCACAAUGAGCUCCUCAGAGCUGGGCAGAGAAUAGCGUUCUGUCUAGUGGAGAAGCUCGGAAUUUAUUUCAGCUCAGUUUGGGACUCACACGGUUUCUAGAAAUUCUCUUUAAAUACAGUUUUGGAAAGAGAUUAAAAUGUAGGCUUUUGAACCAAGAAGCUUGGGCAGCCCAAGCCAACUGCCUUCCCCAUGAAUUUGGAGGUGUGGAAGGCUUUGGCUGUGAAGCUGCCAAUCUCUGAACCACCGCACUGGAUUAGAGAGUUUGGGUAUCUUUGUUUCUCUCCUUCAGUCAAGGACUGAUUUCUGGGGCUGCUCAGCUCUAUCUGAAGAACCUGCAUUUCCAGAGCAGCCACUGACAAAGUGGGCACAGGCCUUGGCCAAUUCUGAAAAUCUUGACUCAGACUCUUCAGAGGUUGUCCAAGAAGUACGUAUGUUUCUCAAUGUUUGGAAAAAAUAAUUAUUUAUAGGCUCACCCAGAACACCGAAUACUUUACUGGAUAUUUCAUGUGUGAGUUGGUUCACAGGAGUCUGGUGUGACUGGAUGUACUACACAAAUUACAGACACACCCUGAACUUGAAAUACUCCUAUUUUACCAGAGCCAAUCAUAUUUCCAUGUUUGUUUGUCAUAAUAUGUAUCUAAUAACUGAAUGUGUGCUGAUGGCACAUUCCUAGUAACCUAAAACAUUAUCAAAAACACAGGGCUAUCUCCAGCUGCAGACCCUGUUUGUGACAGCAGUGUUUACUAUUGAAUCACAAACCACAGAAAACAGUGAUUUGCACAAGAACGGCUAAUGCAUAAGAAGUGUGGUGAACUUUGCUUUUGCACAGGAAGAGGGAAGGAAGAAAAACAUAUUUAUCUCACUCGUGGCUAAACGAUAGUGCAAACCAGUAAUUAUGUGUAAAUUAUGACCUUGCCCCCUUGCAGUCAGCUCCUCAGUAAACACGACCACAUUUGAUUUCCAUCCCCUCAGCAGUCCAAAGCGUGAUACAUGCAUCAUUGUUUUCAGAGCUAGUUCAAUGCUUCUCUUGAGAUUUUUUUUCAAUGACAACCUAUAUUUUUAGAGAUCAAGAUCUUAAAUGAAAAGCUGGGCUUUCCCAGGUCUGGAGGAUUGUCACUGAAUUAUAAAACUUUGACAGUGUAAUAUUAGCUUUUAUAAAUUUUGAUCUUUCCUUUCACACUUUUCUAUAGCUAAAAGACAUUAAAUAUAAGUUUAAAAAUUAUUUUUAUUUUUAAAUAUAUACAUGUUUUUCAUUUUCAUUCAAUAUUUUGUAAUAUUUUCAAACCUGGACAAAUGUUGAACAAUUGAAGAAAACGAAGUGAUAAAAUAAACCCCUAACUUGGAUAUCA